GGUCUACACCAUACCACCCUGACCAUGCUUGUCUGAUCUUGGAAGAUAAGCAGGGUUGGGCUUCUUUAGUACUUGGAUAGGAAAAAAUUGAGAUGGCCC
RNAcentral lists this ribosomal RNA (99 nucleotides) under Meriones unguiculatus (Mongolian gerbil). Lineage: Eukaryota; Metazoa; Chordata; Mammalia; Rodentia; Muridae. The record is from RNAcentral.